RNAcentral lists this long non-coding RNA (860 nucleotides) under Homo sapiens (human). RNAcentral describes it as "HSALNT0117950". Lineage: Eukaryota; Metazoa; Chordata; Mammalia; Primates; Hominidae. The record is from RNAcentral.
CUGCCCCUUCCCCACUGGGACUGGGGGUGGGACUUCUGUUCACCACCCAUCAGUCUCAUCCUAACCUGAGUGCCUUCUGCAGACCCUGGGCAAUGCUGAAGCACAGCCCUGACCACACCUGUGUCCUGACCACACCUGUGUCCUGACCACACCUGUGCCCUGACCACACCUGUGUCCUGACCACACCUGUGUCCUGACCACACCUGUGCCCUGACCACACCUGUGUCCUGACCACACCUGUGCCCUGACCACACCUGUGCCCUGCUCCAGGAUCCCAGAAUGGCCCCACCUCAGCACUCUAGUCGGAGUCCGGCCAACACCUGGGCACCAGGGGAAAGUGGCCUGCUGGGGGAGGAAGUCAGGCCUGGGGAGGCUGUGGACCCUGGGAGCUUCCUUGCCUGCCCCCGCCCCACCUUCACUCCUGCACACAAAGGCACAGAGACACACGAAUGCACAACGCCUCGCCACGCUCUCGCACGGAUGCCACGUGGCAGCAGAAGUAGAAGACUCCACCCUGCUCAGCUUCUGACCUGUGACCUUGGCCAUGUCGCUGGCCCUCCCUAAGUCUCUGUCUCCCCAUUGUGGGUGGAGGGGCUGGGCCCAGGGGCCUGGGGGGCAGGAGGCUGAGGCUGGGUGUGGGCUGGGGCUGUCCUGGCCCCCGCUCCUGUUUCGACCACCAGGCUUCCUCCCCCUGCCCCUCUGGGGAGGGACCAUAAUUAACGUCUUCCUGUUCAGAUCAGGAGUCCGUUUCCAAAAACAUUUUUGGAAGGAUUAUUUUGCAAAGGAAAUGUUUUUGAAAGACUCUUGUGUCCCGUCCCGGCCGAGGGAAGUGGGAGCAGCAGUUGGAGCGGGGAUAGCGG